GAUGAACGCUAGCUACAGGCUUAACACAUGCAAGUCGAGGGGUAACGAGAGGGAAGCUUGCUUUCCUUGUCGACGACCGGCGGAUGGGUGAGUAACGCGUAUCCAACCUGCCCUUCAGUAAGGGAUAGCCUUUCGAAAGAAAGAAUAAUACCUUAUGUGAUCGUCUGAUGACAUCAGACGACGAUGAAAGAUUUAUCGCUGAAGGAUGGGGAUGCGUCCCAUUAGGCAGUAGGCGGGGUAACGGCCCACCUAACCUACGAUGGGUAGGGGUUCUGAGAGGAAGGUCCCCCACAUUGGAACUGAGACACGGUCCAAACUCCUACGGGAGGCAGCAGUGAGGAAUAUUGGUCAAUGGCCGUAAGGCUGAACCAGCCAAGUAGCGUGCAGGAUGACGGCCCUAUGGGUUGUAAACUGCUUUUAAACGGGGAUAAAGUGAGCCACGUGUGGUUUAUUGCAGGUACCGUUUGGAUAGGGACCGGCUAAUUCCGUGCCAGCCGCCGCCGUAA
RNAcentral lists this ribosomal RNA (506 nucleotides) under uncultured bacterium. Its description in RNAcentral is "partial 16S ribosomal RNA". It matches the Rfam family "Bacterial small subunit ribosomal RNA", at positions 28 to 523 of the family's 1533-position model. The record is from RNAcentral.